GGUCAAGUGAAGAAGCGCAUACGGUGGAUGCCUUGGCAGUCAGAGGCGAUGAAAGACGUGGUAGCCUGCGAAAAGCUUCGGGGAGUCGGCAAACAGACUGUGAUCCGGAGAUGUCUGAAUGGGGGAACCCAGCCAUCAUAAGAUGGUUAUCUUGUACUGAAUACAUAGGUGCAAGAGGCGAACCAGGGGAACUGAAACAUCUAAGUACCCUGAGGAAAAGAAAUCAACCGAGAUUCCCUUAGUAGUGGCGAGCGAACGGGGACCAGCCCUUAAGUUGUAUUGAGAUUAGCGGAACGUUCUGGAAAGGACGGCCAUAGUGGGUGAUAGCCCUGUACGCGAAAAUCCCUUUGCAAUGAAAUCGAGUAGGACGGGGCACGAGAAACCUUGUCUGAAUAUGGGGGGACCAUCCUCCAAGGCUAAAUACUACUGACUGACCGAUAGUGAACCAGUACCGUGAGGGAAAGGCGAAAAGAACCGCGGAGAGCGGAGUGAAAUAGAUCCUGAAACCGUAUGCGUACAAGCAGUGGGAGCCCACUUUGUUGGGUGACUGCGUACCUUUUGUAUAAUGGGUCAGCGACUUAUUUUCAGUGGCGAGCUUAACCGAAUAGGGGAGGCGUAGCGAAAGCGAGUCUUAAUAGGGCGUCUAGUCGCUGGGAAUAGACCCGAAACCGGGCGAUCUAUCCAUGGGCAGGUUGAAGGUUGGGUAACACUAACUGGAGGACCGAACCGACUACCGUUGAAAAGUUAGCGGAUGACCUGUGGAUCGGAGUGAAAGGCUAAUCAAGCUCGGAGAUAGCUGGUUCUCCUCGAAAGCUAUUUAGGUAGCGCCUCAUGUAUCACUGUAGGGGGUAGAGCACUGUUUCGGCUAGGGGGUCAUCCCGACUUACCAAACCGAUGCAAACUCCGAAUACCUACAAGUGCCGAGCAUGGGAGACACACGGCGGGUGCUAACGUCCGUCGUGAAAAGGGAAACAACCCAGACCGUCAGCUAAGGUCCCAAAGUCAUGGUUAAGUGGGAAACGAUGUGGGAAGGCUUAGACAGCUAGGAGGUUGGCUUAGAAGCAGCCACCCUUUAAAGAAAGCGUAAUAGCUCACUAGUCGAGUCGGCCUGCGCGGAAGAUGUAACGGGGCUCAAACCAUGCACCGAAGCUACGGGUAUCAUCUUUUGAUGAUGCGGUAGAGGAGCGUUCUGUAAGCCUGUGAAGGUGAGUUGAGAAGCUUGCUGGAGGUAUCAGAAGUGCGAAUGCUGACAUGAGUAACGACAAUGGGUGUGAAAAACACCCACGCCGAAAGACCAAGGUUUCCUGCGCAACGUUAAUCGACGCAGGGUUAGUCGGUCCCUAAGGCGAGGCUGAAAAGCGUAGUCGAUGGAAAACAGGUUAAUAUUCCUGUACUUCUGGUUAUUGCGAUGGAGGGACGGAGAAGGCUAGGCCAGCCUGGCGUUGGUUGUCCAGGUUUAAGGUGGUAGGCUGAGAUCUUAGGUAAAUCCGGGAUCUCAAGGCCGAGAGCUGAUGACGAGUGUUCUUUAGAACACGAAGUGGUUGAUGCCAUGCUUCCAAGAAAAGCUUCUAAGCUUCAGGUAACCAGGAACCGUACCCCAAACCGACACAGGUGGUUGGGUAGAGAAUACCAAGGCGCUUGAGAGAACUCGGGUGAAGGAACUAGGCAAAAUGGCACCGUAACUUCGGGAGAAGGUGCGCCGGUGAGGGUGAAGCAUUUACUGCGUAAGCCCACGCCGGUCGAAGAUACCAGGCCGCUGCGACUGUUUAUUAAAAACACAGCACUCUGCAAACACGAAAGUGGACGUAUAGGGUGUGACGCCUGCCCGGUGCCGGAAGGUUAAUUGAUGGGGUUAGCGCAAGCGAAGCUCUUGAUCGAAGCCCCGGUAAACGGCGGCCGUAACUAUAACGGUCCUAAGGUAGCGAAAUUCCUUGUCGGGUAAGUUCCGACCUGCACGAAUGGCGUAACGAUGGCGGCGCUGUCUCCACCCGAGACUCAGUGAAAUUGAAAUCGCUGUGAAGAUGCAGUGUAUCCGCGGCUAGACGGAAAGACCCCGUGAACCUUUACUAUAGCUUUGCACUGGACUUUGAAUUUGCUUGUGUAGGAUAGGUGGGAGGCUUUGAAGCGUGGACGCCAGUCUGCGUGGAGCCAACCUUGAAAUACCACCCUGGCAACUUUGAGGUUCUAACUCAGGUCCGUUAUCCGGAUCGAGGACAGUGUAUGGUGGGUAGUUUGACUGGGGCGGUCUCCUCCUAAAGAGUAACGGAGGAGUACGAAGGUGCGCUCAGACCGGUCGGAAAUCGGUCGUAGAGUAUAAAGGCAAAAGCGCGCUUGACUGCGAGACAGACACGUCGAGCAGGUACGAAAGUAGGUCUUAGUGAUCCGGUGGUUCUGUAUGGAAGGGCCAUCGCUCAACGGAUAAAAGGUACUCCGGGGAUAACAGGCUGAUACCGCCCAAGAGUUCAUAUCGACGGCGGUGUUUGGCACCUCGAUGUCGGCUCAUCACAUCCUGGGGCUGAAGCCGGUCCCAAGGGUAUGGCUGUUCGCCAUUUAAAGUGGUACGCGAGCUGGGUUUAGAACGUCGUGAGACAGUUCGGUCCCUAUCUGCCGUGGACGUUUGAGAUUUGAGAGGGGCUGCUCCUAGUACGAGAGGACCGGAGUGGACGAACCUCUGGUGUUCCGGUUGUCACGCCAGUGGCAUUGCCGGGUAGCUAUGUUCGGAAAAGAUAACCGCUGAAAGCAUCUAAGCGGGAAACUUGCCUCAAGAUGAGAUCUCACUGGAACCUUGAGUUCCCUAAAGGGCCGUCGAAGACUACGACGUUGAUAGGUUGGGUGUGUAAGCGCUGUGAGGCGUUGAGCUAACCAAUACUAAUUGCCCGUGAGGCUUGACCAU
Molecule: ribosomal RNA, 2893 nt
Filed under: Pseudomonas amygdali pv. tabaci
Lineage: Bacteria; Pseudomonadati; Pseudomonadota; Gammaproteobacteria; Pseudomonadales; Pseudomonadaceae
Also listed under: 5 other names
Description: 23S ribosomal RNA
Rfam family: Bacterial large subunit ribosomal RNA
Source: RNAcentral